Molecule: unclassified non-coding RNA, 87 nt
Filed under: Pseudomonas fragi
Lineage: Bacteria; Pseudomonadati; Pseudomonadota; Gammaproteobacteria; Pseudomonadales; Pseudomonadaceae
Source: RNAcentral
UGUGGGAGCGGGCUUGCUCGCGAUAGCUUCGGCGCGGUUCUACUGAACAACCGCGUCGUUUGCAUCGCGGGCAAGCCCGCUCCCACA